This 465-nucleotide ribosomal RNA is filed under the name Vreelandella stevensii. RNAcentral describes it as "partial 16S ribosomal RNA". It matches the Rfam family "Bacterial small subunit ribosomal RNA", at positions 338 to 795 of the family's 1533-position model. The record is from RNAcentral. Lineage: Bacteria; Pseudomonadati; Pseudomonadota; Gammaproteobacteria; Oceanospirillales; Halomonadaceae.
CCUACGGGCGGCAGCAGUGGGGAAUAUUGGACAAUGGGGGGAACCCUGAUCCAGCCAUGCCGCGUGUGUGAAGAAGGCCCUCGGGUUGUAAAGCACUUUCAGUGAGGAAGAACGCCUGGUGGUUAAUACCCAUCAGGAAAGACAUCACUCACAGAAGAAGCACCGGCUAACUCCGUGCCAGCAGCCGCGGUAAUACGGAGGGUGCGAGCGUUAAUCGGAAUUACUGGGCGUAAAGCGCGCGUAGGUGGCUUGAUAAGCCGGUUGUGAAAGCCCCGGGCUCAACCUGGGAACGGCAUCCGGAACUGUCAAGCUAGAGUGUAGGAGAGGAAGGUAGAAUUCCCGGUGUAGCGGUGAAAUGCGUAGAGAUCGGGAGGAAUACCAGUGGCGAAGGCGGCCUUCUGGACUGACACUGACACUGAGGUGCGAAAGCGUGGGUAGCAAACAGGAUUAGAUACCCCAGUAGUC